AGCGAACGCUGGCGGCAGGCUUAACACAUGCAAGUCGAACGGUCCUUCGGGAUAGUGGCGGACGGGUGAGUAACACGUGGGAACGUACCCUUAGGUUCGGAACAACACGGGGAAACUUGUGCUAAUACCGGAUAAGCCCUUCGGGGGAUAGAUUUAUCGCCUUUGGAGCGGCCCGCGUCUGAUUAGCUUGUUGGUGAGGUAAUGGCUCACCAAGGCUACGAUCAGUAGCUGGUCUGAGAGGAUGGCCAGCCACACUGGGACUGAGACACGGCCCAGACUCCUACGGGAGGCAGAAGUGGGUAAUCUUGCGCAAUGGGCGAAAGCCUGACGCAGCCAUGCCGCGUGAGUGAUGAAGGCCUUAGGGUUGUAAAGCUCUUUUACCCGGGAUGAUAAUGACAGUACCGGGAGAAUAAGCUCCGGCUAACUCCGUGCCAGCCGCCGCGGUAA
Molecule: ribosomal RNA, 447 nt
Filed under: uncultured bacterium
Lineage: Bacteria
Description: partial 16S ribosomal RNA
Rfam family: Bacterial small subunit ribosomal RNA
Source: RNAcentral